Long non-coding RNA from Episyrphus balteatus (marmalade hoverfly), 663 nucleotides. RefSeq lists it as uncharacterized. The transcript is spliced from 2 exons. NCBI's taxonomy places the organism in Eukaryota, Metazoa, Arthropoda, Insecta, Diptera, Syrphidae. The record is from RefSeq and is a predicted model, not a curated record.
CACAACUCAAAGCUUUUCUGUCGGGCUCUCGGAAAUUAAAUCACAGGCACAACACAGACCCAUCACAAUAACAUACACAUACACAACCAUACUCAACAAAAUUGUUCAAGUUUACCCAGCCGAGAGGGUGAAAGAAAUUUUCAUUUCAUUACAAAAUCGAUCGCACGAUGGCGCUACUGCUUCAAUACACUAUUUGGUCGACAUGGAAUUAGUCGUUUAGAAAAUUAAAGUUAUUUUAUUUCAAUCGAUUUGUUUGGUCAAAAAAGUGUUACCUUGGCUUUUAAAAUAUUGUAUAUUUCAUCUGGAUAUAAGAUCCUUGAAAAUCAAUGGUUUUGUAAGCAACGAAAUAUUAAAAGAAAAACCAUAAAAGUCAAAUGUGUACUUUCUGUGAGGAAGAGGCUUUGAAGAAAUUGUGAAGAACAAAAAAAUAUAUACCUAUUUGCUAUGUUAAUGAAAGUGUAAAAUGUGCAAAAAGAAUAAGUAUUUAAUCAAAGGAAAAAAGGAUAUAAACAAUAAAUUUGAUGAUAUUUUUGAAGAGCUUGCACCAUAAAACAAGGAAACAGUCUUUUGAAUAGAAAAAAACUUUCGAAACCAAAGCUCGUGCGAAAGACAAUAAAAUCCACACGAACCCGACGGAUAGAACCCACUUUGCCAGGCAGAUAA